CUAGAUUAUUUCUCCAUCUAACACUACCUAGACAUGCUUUAUGGUAACAUUCUGUAUGAAGCUCUAGGAACAAUGUAGCCUGUUUUAAAUAACAAUGCAAAUAUAUUUAUAUUUAUAUAUAUAUAUAAUAUAUAUUUUCAGGAG
Non-coding RNA from Paracoccidioides brasiliensis, 144 nucleotides. Lineage: Eukaryota; Fungi; Ascomycota; Eurotiomycetes; Onygenales; Ajellomycetaceae. The record is from Rfam.